CCGAGUGCUUGCACUCGAUUGGAAAGAGGAGUGGCGGACGGGUGAGUAACACGUGGGUAACCUACCCAUCAGAGGGGGAUAACACUUGGAAACAGGUGCUAAUACCGCAUAACAGUUUAUGCCGCAUGGCAUAAGAGUGAAAGGCGCUUUCGGGUGUCGCUGAUGGAUGGACCCGCGGUGCAUUAGCUAGUUGGUGAGGUAACGGCUCACCAAGGCCACGAUGCAUAGCCGACCUGAGAGGGUGAUCGGCCACACUGGGACUGAGACACGGCCCAGACUCCUACGGGAGGCAGCAGUAGGGAAUCUUCGGCAAUGGACGAAAGUCUGACCGAGCAACGCCGCGUGAGUGAAGAAGGUUUUCGGAUCGUAAAACUCUGUUGUUAGAGAAGAACAAGGACGUUAGUAACUGAACGUCCCCUGACGGUAUCUAACCAGAAAGCCACGGCUAACUACGUGCCAGCAGCCGCGGUAAUACGUAGGUGGCAAGCGUUGUCCGGAUUUAUUGGGCGUAAAGCGAGCGCAGGCGGUUUCUUAAGUCUGAUGUGAAAGCCCCCGGCUCAACCGGGGAGGGUCAUUGGAAACUGGGAGACUUGAGUGCAGAAGAGGAGAGUGGAAUUCCGUUGGUAGCG
Molecule: ribosomal RNA, 629 nt
Filed under: Lactobacillales bacterium
Lineage: Bacteria; Bacillati; Bacillota; Bacilli; Lactobacillales
Description: bacterial SSU rRNA
Rfam family: Bacterial small subunit ribosomal RNA
Source: RNAcentral